RNAcentral lists this ribosomal RNA (462 nucleotides) under uncultured bacterium. Its description in RNAcentral is "partial 16S ribosomal RNA". It matches the Rfam family "Bacterial small subunit ribosomal RNA", at positions 34 to 507 of the family's 1533-position model. The record is from RNAcentral.
UCCUCCCUCUGGCGGCGUGCUUAACACAUGCAAGUCGAGCGGAAAGGCCCUUCGGGGUACUCGAGCGGCGAACGGGUGAGUAACACGUGAGUAACCUGCCCCAGACUUUGGGAUAACCCUCGGAAACGGGGGCUAAUACCGGAUACGACACAGCUUCGCAUGGGGUCUGUGUGGAAAGUUUUUCGGUUUGGGAUGGGCUCGCGGCCUAUCAGCUUGUUGGUGGGGUGAUGGCCUACCAAGGCGACGACGGGUAGCCGGCCUGAGAGGGCGACCGGCCACACUGGGACUGAGACACGGCCCAGACUCCUACGGGAGGCAGCAGUGGGGAAUAUUGCACAAUGGGCGGAAGCCUGAUGCAGAGACGCCGCGUGAGGGAUGACGGCCUUCGGGUUGUAAACCUCUUUCAGCAGGGACGAAGCGUAAGUGACGGUACCUGCAGAAGAAGCGCCGGCCAACUACGUG